Molecule: ribosomal RNA, 512 nt
Filed under: uncultured bacterium
Lineage: Bacteria
Description: partial 16S ribosomal RNA
Rfam family: Bacterial small subunit ribosomal RNA
Source: RNAcentral
AUUGAACGCUGGCGGCGUGCCUAAUACAUGCAAGUCGAGCGAAUGACGAGGAGCUUGCUCCUCUGAUUUAGCGGCGGACGGGUGAGUAACACGUGGGUAACCUGCCUGUAAGACGGGGAUAACUCCGGGAAACCGGAGCUAAUACCGGAUGAUAACGAGAAGCGCCUGCUUCUUUUUUGAAAGUCGGUUUCGGCUGACACUUACAGAUGGGCCCGCGGCGCAUUAGCUAGUUGGUGAGGUAACGGCUCACCAAGGCGACGAUGCGUAGCCGACCUGAGAGGGUGAUCGGCCACACUGGAACUGAGACACGGCCCAGACUCGUACUGGAGGCAGCGGAAGCGAAUCUUCGGCAAUGGACGAAAGUCUGACCGAGCAUCGCCGCGGGAGCGAUGAAGGCCUUCGGGUCGUAAAGCUCUGUUGUCAGAGAAGAACAAGUACCGGAGUAACUGCCGGUACCUUGACGGUACCUGACCAGAAAGCCACGGCUAACUACGUGCCAGCCGCCGCAGUAA